UCCUGGUUAGCUCAGUUGGUAGUGCACUCCAUGGGAAAUGGAGAGAGAUCCCUUGUUCGAUACCAGAACCAGGCG
Molecule: transfer RNA, 75 nt
Filed under: Ixodes scapularis (black-legged tick)
Lineage: Eukaryota; Metazoa; Arthropoda; Arachnida; Ixodida; Ixodidae
Description: tRNA-Ser for anticodon GGA
Source: RNAcentral